RNAcentral lists this ribosomal RNA (669 nucleotides) under Radicipes sp. RB-19-195. Its description in RNAcentral is "partial 28S ribosomal RNA". It matches the Rfam family "Eukaryotic large subunit ribosomal RNA", at positions 402 to 858 of the family's 3401-position model. Lineage: Eukaryota; Metazoa; Cnidaria; Anthozoa; Scleralcyonacea; Chrysogorgiidae. The record is from RNAcentral.
AAACCGUUGGAAGGGAAGCGAAUGGAGACGGCAAAUCGCCCACUUCGAUUCAUCCGCUCGCGUCCUGCAACCCGAGCUCUCGCGAUCUGUACACAGACGCGGUUCGCGCGGCCGCAGUUCCCGGGCGGUGCACUUCCGGUGGGCUAGCGUCAACGUCGGUCGACGACGCGUCACACAGCCGCGACACGGUAGGUCCUUCGGGAUCGGUAAGUGUUGCGUGCACGCGACGCGUACUAGACCGGCGUCCGUCGCAGCGUGUGCCUUCCCGCAGUAGCGGGUAGGCUGCUGACUUUGUUGUCGACCGGCGAUGCUGACGAGCGGACGGCUCCGCCUGUGCGUCGGCAGCGCCGCCGUUCGACCGACGAAGGAUGCAGACACGACGCGCUCAGUACGUUGACCGCCGUGCGGCUCCAUCCGACCCGUCUUGAAACACGGACCAAGGAGUCUAACAUGUGCGCAAGUCUCAGGGUGAUGGAAACCCAUCGGGCGCAAUGAAAGUGAAUGCGGUCUCGGCCGCAGAGACGAGAAGCGCGAGUGCUUAUGGGUUCCAUCCUGCACCGUGCCACAUCGUCGACCGACCUGUUCUAUUCUUGGAAAGGUUUGAGUUAGAGCGCACCUGUUGGGACCCGAAAGAUGGUGAACUAUGCCUGAAUAGAGCGAAGCCAGCGG